GCUGAUGUAGCUCAGUGGGUAGAGCACAUCCUUGGUAAGGAUGAGGUCGGCCGUUCAAUCCGGCUCAUCAGCUCCA
Molecule: transfer RNA, 76 nt
Filed under: [Clostridium] cellulosi
Lineage: Bacteria; Bacillati; Bacillota; Clostridia; Eubacteriales; Oscillospiraceae
Description: tRNA-Thr (GGT) (tRNA-Thr-GGT-1-1)
Rfam family: tRNA
About the family: Transfer RNA (tRNA) molecules are approximately 80 nucleotides in length.
Source: RNAcentral